UUCAUUCAUUAUCCAACUCAUUCCCAGAUGGUAGCUCAAAUCUGUUUUUCUUGCUUUCAUUAACUGGCAUAUCAUCCUCAGCAUCAUCCAUGGCGGAUUCCUUCUUGAAAUAAUCUACCUUGAAGUCAUAAUCACUAUCCAUCAUAUCACUAGUAGUAGAGGCUCUGUCUUUCUUCCUCCUUUUCUUCUCAGCUUUCUUCUGUUUAGUGUUCAACAUGCCUUCCUCACCGUAUAACUUCUCAUUUUGUCUACUACUAGCACUUUUGCCUCUUGUCUGGGCUCCAUCACCUUCUCCCGAGUCCAUUGGCUCAUCUCUGUUCUCACUAACAAGGUUUUCUGUGGCAUUAUCGCUUUCAACUAAUGGCUGCUGCAAAUUGUCCUCAAGCAUGUUAUCAUCAAAGUUAAUGGGCCGAUUUGAUGGAACUUCAACUGGGUUGAAAUCGUUGACAGAUUUCAGGCUUCCAAUAAUAGAGGAUUCACUUCCAUAAACUUCAUCGAUAUUGAAUUCUUUCCCAAAUUCUGAAACUAUCUUGACCUCUAAAUGCUCCCCCUCAUUCCUGGUUGGGGGCAGGGUGUAGUAUGGAACUUUCCCCUCAUUCCAGUCGUGCAGAACGAUCCUUGCAGCUGCAUCAGUAUCAACGAUUCCUCCCUUUUUGAGCUUACCUCUAACCAUAGCAACUUUCUGAAGAAAGUCAUCCACAGAAUCGAAGGUAGGAAUCUUGUAUAUGGUAACCAACAUUCUUUCUGGACAAAGUUUGAGAAUCUCCUUUACAGGACCAAUUGGGUCAUCUAACUUCUCUAUCCUCUUGCAAUUUCGAAGAGCAAUAGAUGCAUCAUCCUCAGAUGCAGACCUAAGCAUCACAACACCGGGGCAGUCCAGCAAUUUAACAUUCUUAUCUAACUGGACUUCUUGCAGGGAUCUUGUUAAUCCUGGAGUAGCACCUACAUUGACUACAUGAGAUCUCUUCAAGCUAUUAAUCAGGCUACUUUUACCAACAUUUGGUAGACCAAUGACUCCUACAGUGAUUGAUUUCUUGAUCUCGUGGCUUCGUGAGUAAUUCUUCAGCAAUUUUAUCAGUGUCUCGGCGCCAAGGCAAUCACUGGUUUGCAGAAGAUUGCUAGUCUUACUCUUACCAGCCUUUGAGGAAGGCUUCCAACCCAGGUUUGACUUCUGCUCUUGGGUGCUACACUUGAAAGCAACCGUUGGUAAUUCCUCUCUUAAAUACUUUAGCCACUUUUCUGCAGCUUCCCGAGGAACGAGAUCAAUUUUAUUAAGGAGUAACACAAGAUGUUUCUCAGGUCCUGCUCUCAUCACCAUCUUUUCCAUGUCAAGACAGCGGGUACCAAGAGGAUCUCGAGCAUCAAGCACUUCCAAAAUUACAUCCGAAGCAUCAAUUACUUUGACCAACUCCUUGUAGAAAGCCCUUUCAGAGUUAUCUCGUUGUUUAACAAAAGAAGCUGAGCCAUCAUUUACCCUUCCACCUCCAACUUCUUUUUCUUUUGUUGAAGUCAAACCUUCCAGUUUGGACACAUCAUCAUCCUCAAGUAAUCCAAGCUUUCUCUUCUUAGCCCUCUCUUUACGGGCAGCUUUCUUCUGCUCCAAUUCAUCGAGAGCACGAGCACGACGAGCCUCAAGAGCCUUGAGUUCUUGCUCCUUAAAAGGCCAAUCAUUAGGAAUUCCUGGAUCUUUCUCUACCUUAGGUUUCUUAUUAAGUCCAAGCUUUUUUGCCUCUUUGGCCUUCUUCUUAUGGUGCUCCUUCACUUUCCUUAUAAUCUUAUGCUUCUGCUUCAAAGACACCCUCUUACUCUUACUCUUUUUGCUUUUCUUCACCAUUUUUGCUUUGUCGAUAAGCUCUCUCUCUCUCACUGCUCUUUCA
RNAcentral lists this unclassified non-coding RNA (1877 nucleotides) under Hevea brasiliensis (rubber tree). The record is from RNAcentral. Lineage: Eukaryota; Viridiplantae; Streptophyta; Magnoliopsida; Malpighiales; Euphorbiaceae.